GGGUUGUGAGGUUAAGCGACUAAGCGUACACGGUGGAUGCCCUGGCAGUCAGAGGCGAUGAAGGACGUGCUAAUCUGCGAUAAGCGUCGGUGAGGUGAUAUGAACCGUUAUAACCGGCGAUUUCCGAAUGGGGAAACCCAGUGUGUUUCGGCACACUAUCAUUAACUGAAUCCAUAGGUUAAUGAGGCGAACCGGGGGAACUGAAACAUCUAAGUACCCCGAGGAAAAGAAAUCAACCGAGAUUCCCCCAGUAGCGGCGAGCGAACGGGGAGGAGCCCAGAGCCUGAAUCAGUGUGUGUGUUAGUGGAAGCGUCUGGAAAGGCG
This 324-nucleotide ribosomal RNA is filed under the name Escherichia coli. Its description in RNAcentral is "partial 23S ribosomal RNA". It matches the Rfam family "Bacterial large subunit ribosomal RNA", at positions 1 to 352 of the family's 2925-position model. Lineage: Bacteria; Pseudomonadati; Pseudomonadota; Gammaproteobacteria; Enterobacterales; Enterobacteriaceae. The record is from RNAcentral.